RNAcentral lists this long non-coding RNA (1442 nucleotides) under Pogona vitticeps (central bearded dragon). RNAcentral describes it as "lncRNA (ENSPVIG00000024818.1)". The record is from RNAcentral. Lineage: Eukaryota; Metazoa; Chordata; Lepidosauria; Squamata; Agamidae.
AUGGGGGACCCGAGCCAGCAGCCCCUAUGGUGGGCUAUGGGGCGACUCCUGCCAUGCCACCUUUGUAUCAACCUGGCCCAGUCCUUCAGCCUCCACAGUCUGUUUUCGUCACACCUGUCCAGCCGAGCAACGAACCCGAUUACCUGGCCUACUCCAUCUUCACCAUGCUUUGCUGCUGCCUUCCCUUGGGCAUUGCCUCCUUGGUUUAUUCUAUACAGACCCGAGAAGCCAAUCAUAUGGGAAAUCGCGCAGCUGCACAGCGGAACUCCAGGAUGGCACGGAUCUUGGCCCAUACAGCCCUCGGGGUGGGGCUUGCCUUCACCGUUCUCUACAUCGUCUUCGUCGUGGUCAUUUACAACGUUCACUAAAAGUGACAGCUUCUCAAAACUACUUCUCUGUUGGCAACUAAUCGGUGGUUUUGUCCCCUUAAAUCUUUCCAAUAAAAACAACCCCAUGGAGACAAGCUGAUUGAUGGGCACCAAGGAUCAAAUGGGAAAGCAGGGUCCAGCUGGGUGGCUGGACAAUGUCCCUUUGAUCAGCUAGGUAGUCCUAAGGACACUUAUCUUGUCGGUGGCGAUCUAUCGAUGAUCAAGCCCUUGAAAUGAAAUUCCUGAGAUGGGUUUAUAGAUCAGGCUCUCCUCUCUCAUUCUCUUGCCCAGGAUUAAUUCCUGUUGUAGAUUCCUCCUUCUGUAUUUCAUCUCUUCCUCUGUAUUCGAUCACCCGUAUUGCUCUUUGAACCCGUGUCUGGGCUCGCUGGCUUCCCUUGGACGACUUCUUGCUUGCCAAUAUUUCACGGAUGAAAACAAAAGUGUGUUUGCAGCACUCCUGCUCUCAUAGCACGAAUUGCUACCUAAACACUGUUCUGUUCCACAGAUGGACAAUAGAUGGCUCUCCGGUUGACAUUGCCAAACAACUGCCAUCAUUCUACACUGUUUGAAGAUGCUGGGAGUGGCCAUCAAGCAAUGUCUGGAGAGUCAGUCAUUCUCCAUCCUCAUUUUCUCUGCAUUGUCACCAGUGCAAAUAGCUGCCCUACAAACACAAUGCCAGAAAAAUAUGUACGGUUGUAACUGAUUUGGGCUAUGAUUGCCUGUUCAAAACAAGCCCCAGUUUCAGAAUGUGUCAUGGCAGGCUACAGGGCAUGGCUACCUAAUGUUCAUGUGAAUUUGUUCACUUGGUUAUACAUUAAGGGCAAGGCAAAGACAUACCGCCUUGCCUUCUAGAGCUGUGGGUCCGAACCUUGGGUCCCCAGAUGUUCUUGGACUACAACUCCCAGAAGUCCUGGCCAGCACUGCUAGUAUUCAUGGUUUCUGUGAGUUUUAGUCCAAGAACAUCUGGGGACCCAAGGUUGGGAAGUACUGCAGUCAAGAUGUUUUGAAGAAGUAAAAAUAUGAAGUCGUUGAUUUUGAAGGGAAGGGAAUAAAUAAACUUCUUCCCAUGUAACA